GGGACGGUAAUCACACCGCAGGCCUGAUAAGCGUGAGGUCGGUAGUUCAAAUCUACCCAGGCCCA
This 65-nucleotide transfer RNA is filed under the name Gemmatimonadota bacterium. Its description in RNAcentral is "tRNA-Leu". It matches the Rfam family "tRNA". Rfam says of the family: Transfer RNA (tRNA) molecules are approximately 80 nucleotides in length. Their secondary structure includes four short double-helical elements and three loops (D, anti-codon, and T loops). The record is from RNAcentral. Lineage: Bacteria; Pseudomonadati; Gemmatimonadota.